RNAcentral lists this ribosomal RNA (253 nucleotides) under uncultured bacterium. RNAcentral describes it as "partial 16S ribosomal RNA". It matches the Rfam family "Bacterial small subunit ribosomal RNA", at positions 524 to 776 of the family's 1533-position model. The record is from RNAcentral.
UACGAAGGGUGCAAGCGUUACUCGGAAUUACUGGGCGUAAAGCGUGCGUAGGUGGUGAGUUAAGUCUGUCGUGAAAGCCCCGGGCUCAACCUGGGAAUGGCGAUGGAUACUGGCUCGCUAGAGUGCGGUAGAGGAGAGUGGAAUUCCCGGUGUAGCAGUGAAAUGCGUAGAGAUCGGGAGGAACAUCAGUUGCGAAGGCGGCUCUCUGGGCAGUAACUGACGCUGAGGAGCGAAAGCGUGGGGAGCGAACAGG